This 491-nucleotide ribosomal RNA is filed under the name uncultured bacterium. Its description in RNAcentral is "partial 16S ribosomal RNA". It matches the Rfam family "Bacterial small subunit ribosomal RNA", at positions 29 to 506 of the family's 1533-position model. The record is from RNAcentral.
AGUGAACGCUGGCGGUAGGCCUAACACAUGCAAGUCGAACGGCAGCACAGUAAGAGCUUGCUCUUACGGGUGGCGAGUGGCGGACGGGUGAGGAAUACAUCGGAAUCUACUUUUUCGUGGGGGAUAACGUAGGGAAACUUACGCUAAUACCGCAUACGACCUACGGGUGAAAGCAGGGGAUCUUCGGACCUUGCGCGAUUGAAUGAGCCGAUGUCGGAUUAGCUAGUUGGCGGGGUAAAGGCCCACCAAGGCGACGAUCCGUAGCUGGUCUGAGAGGAUGAUCAGCCACACUGGAACUGAGACACGGUCCAGACUCCUACGGGAGGCAGCAGUGGGGAAUAUUGGACAAUGGGCGCAAGCCUGAUCCAGCCAUACCGCGUGGGUGAAGAAGGCCUUCGGGUUGUAAAGCCCUUUUGUUGGGAAAGAAAAGCAGCAGGUUAAUACCCCGCUGUUCGGACGGGACCCAAAGAAUAAGCACCGGCGAACUUCGU